Hippopotamus amphibius kiboko is the source of this 105-nucleotide small nuclear RNA. The record is from RefSeq and is a predicted model, not a curated record. NCBI's taxonomy places the organism in Eukaryota, Metazoa, Chordata, Mammalia, Artiodactyla, Hippopotamidae.
GCUCACUUCAGCUGAGUGUAUACUUAAAUUGGAACAAUGGAGAAGAGAUUAGUAUGGUCCUUGCACAAGGAUGACAUGCAAAUUCAUGAAGCAUUUCAUAUUUUU